This 3114-nucleotide long non-coding RNA is filed under the name Sus scrofa (pig). RNAcentral's name for it is "lncRNA (ENSSSCG00035036640.1)". Lineage: Eukaryota; Metazoa; Chordata; Mammalia; Artiodactyla; Suidae. The record is from RNAcentral.
CGCUGGCCGGCCUCGGGGCCGGGUCUCUGGCGAUUCAGGCCUUUUGCUAAGAGUCGUGACGUGCACGUGACCCCAUUGGACCAGCCUUUCCUGCAUGAAUUCUUGACAACUUUCAAGAUCCAGAUGGGAAGAGGGCAGUGCUAUAGGAGGGGAGACCACUGGUGACAUGCCAGGCGGAUCCAAAACCAAGCAGAAGCGCUCAGAAGUACCCUUGUCAGAACACUGGGAGAGAGACGUUGACAGCCACCAACCGAAUGCUGAACAAAGGCGGAGGAAACUGGAAAAUGAAUGCUAUGGUGAAUGCCACCGAGUCCAUGGGGACAGUAAUGAGAAAAUGAAGAUGGAUGCUUCUUGGAGCUCAGCUAACGGUGGAGGAAGAACUUUGGACAGACUUCUACGCUUCCCACCCUCUGACACCUGUAGAAAAUCGUCAUUCUAGUCCAGAGUUAUCGGUUUCCCCCUGGACUCCUGCAAACUCUACCUGGAAGAAGAAUCUGUUCUCCAUCUCUGAGGCAGUGGUUCUCACACAUGCUCAUCACAAGAGUCCCUCAAAGGGGCAGAGUCCCAGCUGGAAUCAGGAAAUGUGAUCACAGAAGCCAGGUCAGAGUGAUGUGCCUGUUGGCUUCAAAGACGGAGGAAAGGGGCCAUGAGCCAAAGGAUGUGAGCAGCCUCUAGAAGCUGGACAAGGCAAAGAUUCUCUGCCAGAGACUCUGAAAGGAACAGAGCUCCGCCGACAUCUGCGUUAGCCCAGUGAGACCCUUUUUGGACAUCUGGACUAGAGAAUGGUAAGAUAGUAAAUUUUUUGUUGUUUUAAGCUACUAAGUUGGGGGCGAUUUGUUAUGAUGUCAAAAAGAAGGUAAUAUGCAGGAUGUCUGAGCAGAGCAAAGGUAGGACAAUGGUUUGUGGAGGAGAAAGUGCCAACAGAUAGCUGAAAGAGGGCAAAAGGGCCAGGUUCUGGCAGAGAGUGAUGCGGCUGGUAGGAUGCCUUGCUCUUUGCUGCGUUUGUUUGUUCAUUUGUUUCUAUUCCAGGUGUGGUAUAUGGAAGUUCCCAGGCUAGGGGUCACAUUGGAGCUGCAGCUGUGACCUCUGCCACAGCUUGAGGCAAAGCCUGAUCCUUAACCCACUGAGUGAGGCCAGGGAUGGAAGCCACAUCCUCACAGACACUGUGUUGGCUUCUUAACCUGCUGAGCCGCGGCGGGAACACUGAGUCUUUUAAGUCUUGAUGAUGUUGAUCUCAGGCAUGAAAUGGUGAAAAGAUACGGAAUAUAAAUUUGUCCACUGGAUAUGAGUGAACUGGAGAAACAAGAAAGCAAACCAGUUAAUCAAGAACUUUCUGUGUUUUUGUACAGAGACGAGAGGAAUCAAAAUUUCAUAAGAGCAAUAAACCUAGAAAGGAAGGGAGAAACAGUCUUGGCAAGAAAUUAUUUUCUUGUCUCUGAGAUAAAUUUUAUAAGAAUCUAAUAAAGGAUUUUAUAAGGAUAUUUAUUUAUAUUUUUGGAAGACUUGCAGACUUUUUUAUUUUGCAUGGUUCAUUUCACAUUCUCCAAAUGGAUCCUCCAUUUGAUAUUUCUCUGAACAAGAAUAUCAUAAAAGUCCAGCACUAGUAGGUGAUCUUAUGCGAAUAAGUAUGGGUUCACUGUUAAAGGAGAGGAACUGUUCUAUUUCUUAUCUUCUGUGUGUGUGUGUGUGUGUGUGUGUGUGUGUGUGUGUGUGUGUGAGAGAGAGAGAGAGAGAGAGAUUCAGAUGAAUUCUAGAGGAAAAGGGACAGUAGUCUGAUAGCACAAAGUGAGAGGUAUUUAUAAAAUGAUUUUUGCCCCCAAAAUAUAUAGUGAUUGAAGUAUAUGUACAUGGUAUUAUAUAAUCUUAAAACGAUAAUUAAGAGAUGGCCCCUCUAAAGACCCACAUACUAGGAUUUGUAGGUUUUCUAGAUUUCCAGCUGUGGCACAGUGGGUUAAGGGCCUAGCGUUGCCAUAGCUGUGGGGUAGGUCACAACUGCGGCUCAGAUUCAAUCCCUGGCCAGGGAACUUCCAUAUGCCACAGGUGCAGCCAAAAAAUAAAUAAAUAAAAAAUGAAAAUUUCAGGUUUUCCUCAGCCUCAUGUUCCGUGGUCCGUGUUUCCUCCUCCAUCCCACCCCACAUCCCGCUGGAAGCUCACUAACUGCUGUGUGUUUUAGUCAAAUGAGAUCUCUAAAGAAAACGUCACUCCUCCUCCCGUGUGUUUUUCCUUUAUUCUCACACUACUCCCACACUCACUAUACUUCUGGCACCAGAUAUGUGUGUCUGUUCCCCACCCCCGCCUCCAAGCAGUCGUGCAACACCAGCUGGACAUCCUGUCAUUUAACUCAGUUCUGACCCUGUCUCCCUGGAGAUAACAUCACAUCCCACAGGUUGAAGGCCUAGUCCCAGAAUACUGCCCCUCUCCCUUCAGAUGCCAACCUCAAGGUCAUGUCGUCGCCUGUGUGUCAACCUCGUGUGCUAUCUAAAUGGAUGGUUCCUAUGACUCCACCUCAAGUGCGAUUAAUUUGCUAGAUCAGCUCCGAGUACGUAGGAAAACUCUUUACCAGUUUAUUAGAAGAGGAUAUGAUAAAGGAUACAGAUGCUCCAAGAUGCAUCAGAUGAACAGAACAAGAAAGUGGGCAGGGCAGGGAGUUUCAGGCCUCCUCCAUGUGCCCCACCUCCCAGCACCUCCACGUCUCACCAAAAUGGAGCUCUCUAUACUUGUGAGAUUUUUAUGGAGCUUCCCCCAUGCAGGCAUGAUCAGUCAUUAAUUCCGUUUCUAGCUCCUCUCCUCUCUCUGGAGAGUGGGAGGUAAGGCUGAAAGCUCCAAGCUUCUAAUCACAGCUUGACCUUUCUCAUGACCUACCCCCAUCUAGGAGCCCACCAAGGAUCACCUCAUUAAACUAAGACACUCCCAUCACCCAGUAAAUUUCAAAGGAUUUAGGAACUCCGUGUCAGACACUGAGGUCAAAAGCCAAAUAUUAGGAGUUCCCAUUGUGGCUCAGUGGAUUAAGAACCUGAUUAGUAUCCAUGAGGAUGCAGGUUCGAUCCCUGACCUCGCUCAGUGGCUUAAGGAUCUGGCGUUGCCCUGAGCUGUGGUGUAGGUCGCAGACACAGC